Suricata suricatta (meerkat) is the source of this 328-nucleotide long non-coding RNA. RefSeq lists it as uncharacterized. NCBI's taxonomy places the organism in Eukaryota, Metazoa, Chordata, Mammalia, Carnivora, Herpestidae. The transcript is spliced from 3 exons. The record is from RefSeq and is a predicted model, not a curated record.
GGGAAUGAGCCAGGGAAGUCGCAGAGACGAUACAGAAAACCGAGGACCCAUAGAUGUAGCAGGACCAAAUCCCAGGGACUACAUCUCUGGAAUCUCAGCAGUUCAAAGACACUAAACCUCGUUAUAAUGGUUUCUGCACAAUGACCUUCAGAGUGGCUAUGUUAUUCUAACACAAAUGACCUUGUUUCUGUGGGUUCGAUGGUUAUUACCUCCAGCGUAAUGUUGAAGGGAGGCGGUGAGAGCCGCAGCCUUCCCUGGCUCCCAGGCUCAGGAGUAAAGGGUUCACAACUUCACCAUGAAGGUUGAGCUGCAAAUUGGUCGUAGAUGC